RNAcentral lists this long non-coding RNA (1189 nucleotides) under Dromaius novaehollandiae (emu). RNAcentral's name for it is "lncRNA (ENSDNVG00000016942.1)". The record is from RNAcentral. Lineage: Eukaryota; Metazoa; Chordata; Aves; Casuariiformes; Dromaiidae.
UACGGAUUUAUCCCCACGUGAAUUAACGAGACGGCACGCACAGUUCCAGGAAAAAAAAGAUCGUUUAUAGGCCCAUAAUCCUUCUUUCACAGUACAACGCGACAGGAAGGGAGUCAGUCAGUGUAAACAGCAGGUCCAACAGGGAUCAUCGGCUACCACAGCUCAGCUGCACGAGCCGCCUGCUUGGGGCUGCCCAGCCGGAUCGGCAGGCCUGGGUUCCCGCGCUGCCGAGGGCCCCCGGUUUCGCCCGCGGUGCACAGCAUCCRGGCUCGGCGUCGGAAAACCAGGCUCUGCCUCGGAAAACCAGGCCCUCUCCUAUUCCCUGCCGCGGUGCGGUAAGGAAAAGGAGCAGCUGAGGGUUAAUCAGAGUUGUUUAUUAAACCACUCCUGMAUUUCAGCUUAGAUUUAUUCAUUUACCAGGAGUAUGCAAAAUAGUCCUGGUUAUAUUGUGUGUGAGACAUGACAAAGUUCACAGGUAUCCCAUCAAAUCAUUUGCUAACUUUAUUUUUUUUUUUUAAGUAUGAAGUUGAACUGCCACUGGCAUCAAAAGCUGAGGCUCAUAGUAACAUGUCGGUAAGCUGAAAAGACGGUGGGUAAGUUAUUAAAGUCUGAGGGUCAGAGAAAGAGAAAAAUGCAUUAUUAAGGGUUUGAUUUUUAAAGCGGAGGUAACGAGGGCCCAACGGGAGGGCUCGCGCCGGGAGCAGAGCCUGCAGCCGCGCUGCCCUGCUCCACCAGCACCGGCUUCUUGUAAAUUGAAUUCACAGUCGGACCAUACAGGAAAAAACAAGAGGUAGUUAUUUAUCAUACCUCUUCAAAAACGCAAACCUGAAACAAAAAAAAAAAAGGGUGGGGGGAUGUAGAAGUGAUGCAGUAAACCUAAAGUCAACACGUACCAACUUUUUUUUUUCCUUUUUUCUUUUUUAAACACAUGAAGUUAAGUUACAGACAUCAUAUAAAACACACGCUUUAUGGCGAUCCUGCAUAGCAGGAAACGAAGAGGCUAGCGCUAAUCCAACAGCUACGUUAACAGCUACAACUGCCAUUUAUCGGUGCGAGAAGAGCCUAUGCCUAAAUACAGAGAGUGUACCCCRUCGUGAGGAGCCCUAUGGCAACACCUACAGCUUGCUCGGAAGGAAAAAGAAAGUACUUUCUUGGGGAGAAACUGCCAAAAUAAUUAGUUUCACUUCAG